Molecule: microRNA, 22 nt
Filed under: Homo sapiens (human)
Lineage: Eukaryota; Metazoa; Chordata; Mammalia; Primates; Hominidae
Description: hsa-miR-4709-5p
Source: miRBase by way of RNAcentral
ACAACAGUGACUUGCUCUCCAA